This 353-nucleotide long non-coding RNA is filed under the name Trifolium pratense (red clover). Its description in RNAcentral is "long non-coding RNA (TPRA_LNC005386)". Lineage: Eukaryota; Viridiplantae; Streptophyta; Magnoliopsida; Fabales; Fabaceae. The record is from RNAcentral.
UUGAGUCCAUAAGGAAGUCGAGGAUCGGAAUAGAUGAAUCCAUAAGAUCUAGAGCUGCUAUCCAGCAGGAUAUAAAACUGUUUAACUUAUCCAUGAGGGAUAUGAAGGUUUGGUAAGUUCCGAACAAUCCGGCAAGAUGUAAAACUGUUUAACUUAUCCAUGAGGGGUAAGAGGCAAUUGGUACCACAUGCAUUAGUCGUGUCUAGGGAUGACAUGACAUAGAAUGAUUGGCAUUAGAUGUAUUAGGGUAAAUGCGCAUAUAUUUGAUAAAUGGUAUGUGACAUUAUCUGGUUGAAUUGUGUUAAACUUUAUUAAUUGAUAACUGUUUAGUACGACGUUUUGGCGUGAGUUAG